This 50-nucleotide small RNA is filed under the name Streptomyces lividans TK24. RNAcentral describes it as "non-coding RNA of unknown function". Lineage: Bacteria; Bacillati; Actinomycetota; Actinomycetes; Kitasatosporales; Streptomycetaceae. The record is from RNAcentral.
GUGGGUUUGCCUGAGAGGGCUCUCGGGUACACCAUGGAAGUCACGGAUCG